CCCUUAGAUGUUCUGGGCCGCACGCGCGCUACACUGACGAAGUCAGCGAGCAUGUCCUACGCCUACAGGUGCGGGGAAUCUUGUCAAACUUCGUCGUGAUGGGGAUUGAUUAUUGAAAUUCUUGAUCAUCAACGAGGAAUUCCUAGUAAGCGCAAGUCAGCAGCUUGCGUUGAUUACGUCCCUGCCCUUUGUACACACCGCCCGUCGCUACUACCGAUCGGAUGGUUUAGUGAGACCCUCGGACUGGUCCCGCUGUCGGACAGGCAACUGUUUGCAGCGCGUGCGCCGGGAAGAAGGUCGAACUUGACUAUCUAGAGGAAGUAAAAGUCGUAACA
This 335-nucleotide ribosomal RNA is filed under the name uncultured eukaryote. Its description in RNAcentral is "partial 18S ribosomal RNA". It matches the Rfam family "Eukaryotic small subunit ribosomal RNA", at positions 1470 to 1796 of the family's 1831-position model. The record is from RNAcentral.